GAUGAACGCUGACAGAAUGCUUAACACAUGCAAGUCGAUGGGGAAGUGGUGCUUGCACCAUGGCAACCAUGGCGGACGGGUGAGUAACGCGUAAGGGACUUACCUGCAGGACUGGGAUAACAGGGGGAAACUCCUGACAAGACCGGAUAAUGUCAUGGAGCUGCAUGGCUUUAUGAUGAAAGGAGACGCCUGCGGAGAGCCUUGCGUCCUAUUGGCUAGAUGGUGAGGUAAUGGCUCACCAAGGCGAAGAUAGGUAGCCGGCCUGAGAGGGUGGACGGCCACAAGGGGACUGAGAUACGGCCCUUACUCCUACGGGAGGCAGCAGUGGGGAAUAUUGGACAAUGGGGGCAACCCUGAUCCAGCAAUUCUGUGUGCACGAAGAAGGUUUUCGGAUUGUAAAGUGCUUUCAGCAGGGAAGAAGUAAGUGACGGUACCUGCAGAAGAAGCGACUGCUAAAUACGUG
This 463-nucleotide ribosomal RNA is filed under the name uncultured bacterium. RNAcentral's name for it is "partial 16S ribosomal RNA". It matches the Rfam family "Bacterial small subunit ribosomal RNA", at positions 28 to 507 of the family's 1533-position model. The record is from RNAcentral.